UAACAUAUGCUUGUCUCAAAGAUUAAGCCAUGCAUGUCUAAGUAUAAACAACUUUAUACUGUGAAACUGCGUACAGCUCAUUAAAUCAGUCAUUAUUUAUUUGAUGGUUUCUUACUUCACAUGGAUACCCGUAGUAAUUCUAGAGCUAAUACAUGCAAAAAAUCCCGACGCAAGAAGGGAUGUAUUUAUUAGAUAAAAAACCAAUGCGCCCUCUGGGCGGUUGUGGUGAUUCAUAAUAACUGAUCGAAUCGCAUGGCCUCGUGCUGGCGAUAGUUCAU
Molecule: ribosomal RNA, 278 nt
Filed under: uncultured eukaryote
Lineage: Eukaryota
Description: partial 18S ribosomal RNA
Rfam family: Eukaryotic small subunit ribosomal RNA
Source: RNAcentral